AUUAUAUACAGUCCUCAGCAUCAUGGGAGAAAAUAAUAUUUACUGCCAUAUGAAAAAACAGAGGCUGCUAGUCUGGAGGUGAAGGAUUGGUCAGCAAUGAACAGAAGUAUGAUUGACUUGCAACUAUGGAAAAUGUCAAUAUCAUACCUGCCCUUCAGAUAUUUGUCUUCAUAUACAAGACCCAUCUCCUAUAACUAACUGCUGGCCAUUUCAAAACCAAAUGGGCCUGCAAUUUUGAAAACCGAAUGCUAACUGCAAGGAAGACCAACAGUAUCUCCCAGGACUCUGACAGUACCAUUGAGCAAGCCUAUGAAAUAUCUGCAUUGUUUUUAACCAUUGCAAA
This is a non-coding RNA of Ictidomys tridecemlineatus (thirteen-lined ground squirrel), 343 nucleotides long. The record is from RefSeq and is a predicted model, not a curated record. Lineage: Eukaryota; Metazoa; Chordata; Mammalia; Rodentia; Sciuridae.